Molecule: long non-coding RNA, 262 nt
Filed under: Elaeis guineensis (African oil palm)
Lineage: Eukaryota; Viridiplantae; Streptophyta; Magnoliopsida; Arecales; Arecaceae
Description: long non-coding RNA (EGUI_LNC015051)
Source: RNAcentral
UAUUAAAAAAAUUUAAUAGUAUUAGUGAUGAAAUAAUUUAUCAUCAUUAAUAAUUUUGAAAAAAUAUUAUUAUAUAAAUUUUGAAAAAAAUUUAAUAUUAAAAUUUAAUAUUUUAAAAAAAUUAAUAGUAUUAGCGACAGCGGAUGGAUAUUAGCGAUGAAAACUGUCGUCACUAAAAUUUUGAUACAUAAAAUAGAGUUUUAUCGACCGUAUUACCGAUGGUCAUUGCCGUCGGUAAUAAUCUGGCUAAAAAACACCCCCA